CCAGCUAUAAUCUACUCGAUCUUGAUGUCCUAACCGGAUAACUGCGAUAAUUUUGGAGCUAAUACGUGCACCAAUGCCCGGGACUAACGUACGGGCGCACUUAUUAGAUCAAGACCAAUCGGGGCAACCCGUUCUGGUGACUCUGAAUAAUUUCGCUGAUCGCAUGGUCUAGCACCGGCGACGUAUCGUUCGAGUGUCUGCCUUAUCAACUUUCGAUGGAAGUCCAUGUGACUGCCAUGGUUGUUACGGGUAACGGAGAAUAAGGGUUCGACUCCGGAGAGGGAGCCUGAGAAACGGCUACCACAUCCAAGGAAGGCAGCAGGCGCGUAAAUUACCCACUCUCAAUGCGAGGAGGUAGUAACUAUCAAUAACGAGACAGUUCUCUAUGAGGCCUGUUAUCGGAAUGGGUACAAUUUAAACCCUUUAACGAGGAUCUAUGAGAGGGCAAGUCUGGUGCCAGCAGCCGCGGUAAUUCCAGCUCUCAAGGUGUAUAUCGUCAUUGCUGCGGUUAAAAAGCUCGUAGUUGGAUCUGAGUCUGUGGGCGCGGUGCACCAUGUGUGUAACUGUGAUCCCGGACUGUUUUGUUGGUUUUCUGCAGUUUGCCUUCAUCGGUAGGCUGUGGUGGCUGACAUGUUUACCUUGAAUAAAUCAGAGUGCUCAAAACAAGCGUUUCGCUUGAAUAUUCGUGCAUGGAAUAAUGGAACAGGACUUCGGUUCGUUCUGUUGGUCUUAGAACCGAUGUAAUGGUUAAGAGGGACAGACGGGGGCAUCCGUAUCGCUGCGUGAGAGGUGAAAUUCUG
Molecule: ribosomal RNA, 800 nt
Filed under: Mononchoides composticola
Lineage: Eukaryota; Metazoa; Nematoda; Chromadorea; Rhabditida; Neodiplogasteridae
Description: SSU rRNA
Rfam family: Eukaryotic small subunit ribosomal RNA
Source: RNAcentral